AUAGGUGAACCUGCGGAAGGAUCAUUAACACGUAUCAACAACCCUGCGAACCUGAACGUGCUCUCGUACACGCUCUAGCAGCCCUCCCUGGUAAAUCAUUGUUGACCAGCUAUUGAGUCUGGGACUUCUGCUAGAAAACCAUACGAUACGAGCGCCAGAGCAUCCUAGCAAUCUGUCAGUGGUUGCGCAAGGAUGGCGCAGUAAACGAUCACACGGCCGGCGACCGGGCCUCUGUGCUUCGGCACCUAAUGACACCAGUUUUCUGACCCGGUGCGCUGUAACAACCGCACCACAAACUCGAACAACUGUUCGCAAUGGAUAUCUUGGUUCUG
This 332-nucleotide unclassified non-coding RNA is filed under the name rhizosphere metagenome. RNAcentral's name for it is "partial ribosomal RNA internal transcribed spacer region". The record is from RNAcentral.